CUUCAUCCCAUUUACAGAUGAGCCACAGAGAGGUUAUAACUUGCUCAACUCUCUCAAGGGGCCAGAACUUUGGACAAGCUUGUUAAUAUCUCUAUUCCUUAGCUCCCCCAGAAAAGUGGGGAUAUAAGUUACAGUACCUACCUCAUAGGGUUGUUAUGUGGAUUCAAUGCCAUAAUCUAUAUAAAGCCCUUAGCAAAGGGUCUAGAGAACAUAGUAAAUGCUGGAUACUUAAACACAAAGUACCUUACUUAAUUGGAAUAAUAGAGAUAUCAUUUGCUAUAGUUAUCAAAAAUGCAACUGGAGAUUUAAGGAAAUGGAUAGGUGAGUAACACAGGAAAAGUCUGGGGUAGGCAGUGUGUGAAAAGUACCCUGAACUUCGGGACAGGAGGACAGGUCCAAUGACCCUGUUCGCACAAGAGGCCUUAUAGGCCUUCAGGGAGAAAUGGUGAGAAGGGACUUUGAGGGUUGACAGUUGGCCUCAAAACUCCAGGCUUUUCUUUUCUGAACUAAGGGAGACCAUAAACAAGCCCUCGCCUCUAGGAAGAAGUCUUCAGGAGCCCUAGAUUGGAAAGCUGAGGUACCUGGACAGGGCCCGCACCUGGCCUGGGGCUGCGAUGGCUGGGGCGGCCUGUGAGUGCUGUCUGUCCCUGCCUCCCGCUGUGGAAAGCCUGGGCAGCGGCAGGCUCCAGCCAGGUUCCAGACUCCUACCGUGACCACGCUCCGGCUCGCCAGCUCCAAACCACUGCUCUCCUGGCACUGUUUCUGUGGCUUUGUCCAUCAUCUCCCCGGCUCUCUUCUCUGAUUUGCUAAACUCAGCCCUCGUCCUUCUCCACUCUGUUUCUGAUUGUGCCCACUGAUUCCAGACAAGACACAUCACUCUAUGUGCCCUCAGUGGAGGGACCUUGAGGGCAAAGACGGUUGGCCAGGGAUGAGUGAAGGGAGAGGUAAGAGGUGGCAAUUACUCACCAGUGGCUCUAGACUCCUGGCCAAGUCUUCAGGACUCAUCCCAAGUUCUUCAUCUGAGGGAGUGUGAACUACAUUUUGGGAACCUAGUAAGAGUUGUGAUUAGGAGCAGGAAAAUAACAAGAACCCUAAUCCAGGGUGAGGGACAAGAACAGAAAACAUUGAAGGGAACUGGUUGUCCAGCCAAGCCACAACCCCUUUCCUCCUCUCUCACCCCUUAAAAAGUGGCUGGGGCUGUGAUCUUGAGCCCAGGUACUCAUUUCAGGCUGCAUGCUUUGCCUCCGAAUGGACUCUUCAUGUCUCCUAAGACCUUCAGAGAGACGGCUGGUUUGAAAGGUCCUGCUAAUAAAGCUUCUAAGAAGAGACUGGAAUUGGCCUUCCGUCAGUCUUGAAGGGUGAUUCACCCCCACUGUGCGCUCAGAUCCUAUAGGAUAUAACAUGAUAAUGGAAGCUUCGUGUCUCCUAUUGCUGUUAGGAAAAAACCAGACUGAUAUUUUUAUGACAUUUUUGUUUUAAUGUAUGCUGUAUGUGAAAAUAACCACUAAACAAGUCAAGUCGUCUGCUUCCUGUUGCCAAACACCUAUGACAGAGGAGCUUCAAGAAGAAGCACAGGACAUAAAACCGUUUGGAGAACCACUAAUUUGGUGGCUGGGAUACGAAGCUGGCAAACCCCUCCCUGCCCAGGCUGCUAAGACUGACCCACUGGGGACCUCCUUGCUUAGCCAUGAUGCUGCCGAGAAGGGAGGUGUCUCUCCUUGGCCUCCGUCCCCAGGUGGCCCUCACCUUUCUGACCCUCCCAUCCCUGUCCCGGGACCGAUACCGAGUGCCCUGCCGUGCUGCCCUCUUGGGAUCUGUGGGCUGCUCGGCCGUCACUGGCCUGCUUGCUUAACCCAACUCCCACGGAUGGUGGAUGGCGUUCCAAGCCCUCACUAGGGAAGGGAGCGCGCAUGAGUCACGUCCUGUGGUCACUGUCAUCCUCCCCUCCCUCUCUGAGGCCUCUCCUCCUUCAGCGCAUUUAUUUAACUGUGAAGAGAGCCUCUUCUGACCCUCCAUCUGGAGGCCCUUCUCCUCCGUAACUCCACACCCACCCCGCCCUCAGCCCUUGCUCCCAGUGUCCUCCCCACAGAGCCUGUCACGAAGCCGGGGAGCUCUCGGGGCAGGCGAGGACAUUUCUGUUUACACUUCAUUACAACAUGCAGUUGAGGUGAACCUAUCGAUGAAAUAAGGUGUGAGCUUGUUUUUGUUUAUUGUGAGUUUAAAGGGCAGGGAGGAGAAAACCACUCUAAGGGAAGAAAAAGGGAACUAGCAUUUAUUGAGCCCCCCACACAGAAAUAGCUUCAUCCUCCCCAUGGUCUUGGGAGAUGCCAUUUAUCCCAUUGUACAGAGGAAGAAAUGGAGAGUAAAUAACUUGCACAACGUACUGUUAGCCCAGGUAGCUAGAUAUUAAUAAAAGAGAAGGGAGCAAAAGUGUAUGAACUUAACUAGGUUGGAAGCUACAGUGUCACACAUUCCAGGAGACAGCCAGCAUUGCCCUGCCAACGGGAUCAACAACCCUCAGUCCCAGCCCUGGGGGGAGGGUCAGAACUGGCUCUGUAGCCGGAUUAUGGCAGGGGCGGGGGGAAGAGCCCCGAAAAUUCCUCAAUUCCUCUGCUGAAGGGAAGAUGUGGCCAUAACAGGGAAGUGUCUCAUCUGGGAAAAGGACUGAAUGAUUAGGGGGAGGGCCAAGCCCAAGCCUGGGAAGGACUGGGAAGAGAUUGGUCAGUUUGAAAGCCCAAGAUAAUAAAAUCAAAGCUGAACAAAGGCCCCUCUCUCUGUCUUUCUCUCUCUGUCUCUCUCACAUGUUGCAUGUUCGUUUGUUCCUGAGUCCUCCCUCUGUAGCAGCCACAUGAACCUAGCAGGCCCUGCAGCUGGGAAUACAGACUAAACUAGCCAGAUGAGGACAGAAACUGAACUGGACUGAGCUGUGGCAUGGACUGAACUGAUGGCACAGAAUUUCUGGACCCCGGCCCCUCUUCUGGGCCUGAUGAAGAUGAGGCUGGACUUCUUCCACAGCGGGAGGGAGGGAGGGAGGGAGAUGAGACACUGGGGACCUGUGGGUGGUCUUUUAUUUCUACCCCAACAGACCACUACACCUCACCUUCUCAUGCUUCGGUGUCCAGAAAUGCUUUCCUUGAGACUCUGUGGAAGGGCCCCAUUUCCACCAGCAAAGCACCAGGGUUGGUAAACACAGAAACCAGUGGCUAUUUGCUCUCAUUUUGUAUAAAAACUAAUGAACAUUUCCUGGAUGAAUAAAUCCUUAAAAAAAGAUAGUACCCAUGAAGUGUGCCCCGGGCUGUGUAACCUGGGGCAAAUCAGUGAAGUUCUCUGGGCCAUAGUUGCAGCAUCUACAAAAUCAGGGCUCUGCCAUCCAAGGGCUUCUGACCCAGUCAUUAAUUACCCUUGUUCUCAGAGAAGGACCUCCUUCUGCCCAGCCCAAAUCUCUCCAGAACCUAAGUCACACUACCAGGAAAUAAAUGAUUAGCACUCCCGGAGUAUUAAUCAGGGGCACGGCAGGACACACCACCCUUUUCCCAGCGGGGCAGCAGUUGUACAGCUGGCCGAGCUCUAGCUGCUAAAUCAGGACCCGUGAGUGGGCAGAACGAUGGGAAAACACAGGGAGCGCCGAGGGGCUCCUACAUCACCUAGAUUUCUACGUCACUACUGCUCCACACCUUCUGCCUCAGCAAUGGCAGCCAGCGUGCCUUAAGCCUACCGUCCCUCCCUCCGCAGCCUGCAUACCCUCUCACCCUUGACCCAUGAUACUUUAUCCCUGGGCAGGGCUAGCCAAGACAGACAGACCAGACCGGCACAGGCUCCCUGCACCCUGGGAGAGCACCGCUCAUGUGGGGGACAAAAUAAAAUCU
Molecule: long non-coding RNA, 3866 nt
Organism: Artibeus jamaicensis (Jamaican fruit-eating bat)
Lineage: Eukaryota; Metazoa; Chordata; Mammalia; Chiroptera; Phyllostomidae
Exons: 3
Source: RefSeq, a predicted model, not a curated record